RNAcentral lists this ribosomal RNA (492 nucleotides) under uncultured bacterium. RNAcentral's name for it is "partial 16S ribosomal RNA". It matches the Rfam family "Bacterial small subunit ribosomal RNA", at positions 29 to 507 of the family's 1533-position model. The record is from RNAcentral.
AGUGAACGCUGGCGGUAGGCCUAACACAUGCAAGUCGAACGGCAGCACAGUAAGAGCUUGCUCUUACGGGUGGCGAGUGGCGGACGGGUGAGGAAUACAUCGGAAUCUACUUUUUCGUGGGGGAUAACGUAGGGAAACUUACGCUAAUACCGCAUACGACCUACGGGUGAAAGCAGGGGAUCUUCGGACCUUGCGCGAUUGAAUGAGCCGAUGUCGGAUUAGCUAGUUGGCGGGGUAAAGGCCCACCAAGGCGACGAUCCGUAGCUGGUGUGAGAGGAUGGUGAGCCACACGGGAACUGAGAAACGGUCCUGACUCUUACGGGAGGCAGAGGUGGGGAAUAUUGGACAAUGGGCGCAAGCCUGAUCCAGCCAUACCGCGUGGGUGAAGAAGGCCUUCGGGUUGUAAAGCCCUUUUGUUGGGAAAGAAAAGCAGCAGGUUAAUACCCCGCUGUUCUGACGGUACCCAAAGAAUAAGCACCGGCUAACUUCGUG